GCGUGAGUGAUGAAGGCCUUAGGGUCGUAAAGCUCUUUCGCCUGUGAUGAUAAUGACAGUAGCAGGUAAAGAAACCCCGGCUAACUCCGUGCCAGCAGCCGCGGUAAUACGGAGGGGGUAGCGUUGUUCGGAAUUACUGGGCGUAAAGCGCGCGUAGGCGGAUUAGAAAGUUGGGGGUGAAAUCCCGGGGCUCAACCUCGGAACUGCCUCCAAAACUGCUAGUCUAGAGUUCGAGAGAGGUGAGUGGAAUUCCGAGUGUAGAGGUGAAAUUCGU
This 274-nucleotide ribosomal RNA is filed under the name uncultured bacterium. RNAcentral's name for it is "partial 16S ribosomal RNA". It matches the Rfam family "Bacterial small subunit ribosomal RNA", at positions 399 to 691 of the family's 1533-position model. The record is from RNAcentral.